UACGGGGGGGGCAAGCGUUGUUCGGAAUUACUGGGCGUAAAGGGCUCGUAGGCGGCCAACUAAGUCAGACGUGAAAUCCCUCGGCUUAACCGGGGAACGGCAUCUGAUACUGGAUGGCUUGAGUUCGGGAGAGGGAUGCGGAAUUCCAGGUGUAGCGGUGAAAUGCGUAGAUAUCUGGAGGAACACCGGUGGCGAAGGCGGCAUCCUGGACCGACACUGACGCUGAGGAGCGAAAGCCAGGGGAGCAAACGGG
Molecule: ribosomal RNA, 253 nt
Filed under: uncultured bacterium
Lineage: Bacteria
Description: partial 16S ribosomal RNA
Rfam family: Bacterial small subunit ribosomal RNA
Source: RNAcentral